UGUUAAAGUUCUUAUUUCAUGGUAUAACUUUGGUAUGCUUGGACCUAGAGUCUUCAAACUUGACAUAAAGGUUGGCCAGGAUUAACAGAUGACCACUGGUCAUUUCAAGGUCAUUCAUUUGAAGGUCAAGGUCACUGUGACCUUCAAUAUAAAAAAUGUUAAAGUUGUUAUAACUUUGGUAUGCUUGGACCUAGAGUCUUGAAACUUGACAUGAAGGUUGGCCAUAACUAGUUAGUAACCACUGGUCAAUUCAAGGUCAUUCAUUUGAAGGUCAAGGUCACUGUGACCUUGAAUGUAAAAAUGUUAAAGUUCUUAUUUCAUGGUAUAACUUUGGUAUGCUUGGACCUAGAGUCUUCAAACUUGACAUGAAGGUUGGCCAGGAUUAACAGAUGACCACUGGUCAUUUCAAGGUCAUUCAUUUGAAGGUGAAGGUCACUGUGACCUUCAAUAUAAAAAUGUUAAAGUUGUUAUAACUUUGGUAUGCUUGGACCUAGAGUCUUGAAACUUGACAUGAAGGUUGGCCAGAACUAGUAAGUAACCACUGGACAUUUCAAGGUCAUUCAUUUGAAGGUCAAGGUCACUGUGACCUUGAAUGUAAAAAUGUUAAAGUUGUUAUAACUUUGGUAUGCUUGGACCUAGAGUCUUGAAACUUGACAUGAAGGUUGGCCAGAACUAGUAAGUAACCACUGGACAUUUCAAGGUCAUUCAUUUGAAGGUCAAGGUCACUGUGACCUUGAAUGUAAAAAUGUUAAAGUUCUUAUUUCAUGUUAUAACUUUGGUAUGCUUGUACCUAGAGUCUUCAAACUUGAAAUAAAGAUUGGCCAGUACUAGAAGAUGACCACUGGUCAUUUCAAUGUCAUUCAUUUGAAGGUCAAGGUCACUGUGACCUUAAAUGUUAAAAUGUUAAAAUUGUUAUAACUUUGGUAUGCUUGGACAUAGAGUCUUCAAACUUGACAUGAAGGUUUGCAAGCACACUUAGAUGACCACUGGUCAUUUCAAGGUCAUUCAUUCUAAGGUCAAGGUCACUGUGACCUUGAAUGUAAAAAUGUUAAAGUUCUUAUAACUUUGGUAGGUAAAAAUGUUAAAGUUCUUAUUCCAUGUUAUAACUUUGGUAUGCUUGUACCUAGAGUCUUCAAACUUGACAUAAAGGUUGGCCAGUACUAGAAGAUCACCACUGCUCAUUUCAAUGUCAUUCAUUUGAAGGUCAAGGUCACUGUGACCUUCAAUGUUAAAAUACUAUCAUUCAAGCUUGGAUCAUAUUUAUGUGUCCAAUCUAUCUGCUAGAACUGGUGUGAUAGAAACCUUUUGGAGUGAUCAUAAGGCUGUCUGGAUUUCUGUGUAGGUAUGUGAAAGCAAAACAAUAAAUAGUAUUAUUUCAUCUAAGUUUAUUUUCUUACAUUUGAUAAUGAAAUUGAUGGAAACUUCAAACAAUAUGUUACUAAUUUGCUAAUAAAAAAAUUGAGAUCAAACUUUCCUAAUUGUCAAUUCAAGUUCAUAUUUGUGACCUUAAAUGUUAUUGUUGUUCAUGUAUAUGCAUGCAUUCAAAACAUAACACAAGGUUUGCUCAUGCCUUGAAAAGUACUUACAUUUCAUUUUGACCUUUGAACAAUAUUUCAGUAAUUUAAGUAUUGCAUUGACAAAAACACGAAAGGUACUUUCCUGUCAUUUAAAUCAAAAAUCCGGCUUCAAUGCGGUCAUCUCCGACCGCGGAACUCUUGUUUUAAU
This is a long non-coding RNA of Dreissena polymorpha, 1725 nucleotides long. RefSeq lists it as uncharacterized. Lineage: Eukaryota; Metazoa; Mollusca; Bivalvia; Myida; Dreissenidae. The transcript has 2 exons. The record is from RefSeq and is a predicted model, not a curated record.